RNAcentral lists this long non-coding RNA (1006 nucleotides) under Felis catus (domestic cat). Its description in RNAcentral is "lncRNA (ENSFCAG00000049500.1)". Lineage: Eukaryota; Metazoa; Chordata; Mammalia; Carnivora; Felidae. The record is from RNAcentral.
AGGUGUGUCAGCCCACCUUGGAAUGCUCUAAGGGGUAUAAGAGAAGCCAGCCCCUUAUGACACCACUUUUCCCACUUCUCUUUCAGAAGCUGGAGAAAUCCGGGAAGUCUGGAGCACACAUCCCCUCACCAUCAGGGCAGAAGGGCCUUGGCAGCUGCCCUUUCCUUCGCCUGGAAUGCUCUGUUCUGAGCUCUACAUCUCCAGGUUUCCUCAGAUAAGCUACUCAGGCCACAGUGAGUAAGGCAGCCCCUUCCUUUCCCCCACCUCCAGUUAUCCUCCUUCAUGUCCUACUGUUUGUUUCCUUCACGGCACUUUAACACAAUCUGUAAUUAUCUCAUUUGUUUGUUUGUUUAUUGUCUGUCUUCUCUACUGGAAUGGAAGUUCCAAGAGACAGUAGGGAUCAUGCCUGUCUAAUUCAGUGCUGUAAUGCCAGCACCUGGCACCGGGCCUACCACAUAGUAGGUGCUAAAUAUGUGUUCACUAAAAGAACGGACAAAUUCUUUCACUGAAGUGCCACAAGAAUCCUCGGUGAUGGUGAGCAUUAUUAUUCCCAUUUUACAGAUGAAGAAAUGAAGGCUCAGUCACCUGCCCAAGGUCAUACCACUAGGAAGCAGUACAGCCCGAUUUCUAAUGUAAGCCUCUGAUUCCAGAUGUGAGGGAAGGAGGUAGGGACCAUCUUUCCUAACCUUCAAUGCACCUGGCUCCUGUUCCUGUUUGUCUGUGGGUGUCUCUACUCCCAUCCCAGGCAUCCCCACAGAAACCUGUGCAGAAAAGCGAGAAGGACAGUUAAAACCUGUAAAGAAUGUGAAUUUGGGGCACCCGGGUGACUCAGUUGGUUAAGCGUCUGACUUCGGCUCAGGUCAUGAUCUCAUGGUUCGUGGGUUCGAGCCCCAGACAGACUUUGUGCUGACACCUCAGAGCCUGGAGUCUGCUUUGGAUUGUGUAUCUCCCUCUCUCUGCCCUUGCCCUGCUCUCUCUCAAAAAUAAACAAACAAACAAACAAACA